UUAGCAUUCAUGUAUGUCAGUUUUUGACUCAUUGUUAUAGAGCCUAUUUCCUAUGUGAGACUAUGAUAAGGGUUACAUGGUAAUCACAAGGCUAUUUCCUAUUUGAGACCAUGAUAAGGGUUACAUGGAAAUCACAAGGUCAUUUCCUAUUUAAGACCAUAAUAAGGGUGACAUGGUAAUCACAAGGCCAUUUCCUAUUUGAGACCAUGAUAAGGGUUACAUGGUAAUCACAAGGUCAUUUCCUGUUUGAGACCAUGAUAAGGGUGACAUGGUAAUCACAAGGCCAUUUCCUAUUUGAGACCAUGAUAAGGGUGACAUGGUAAUCACAAGGCCAUUUCCUAUUUGAGACCAUGAUAAGGGUGACAUGGUAAUCACAAGGCCAUUUCCUAUUUGAGACCAUGAUAAGGGUGACAUGGUAAUCACAAGGCCAUUUCCUAUUUGAGACCAUGAUAAGGGUGACAUGGUAAUCACAAGGCCAUUUCCUAUUUGAGACCAUGAUAAGGGUGACAUGGUAAACACAAGGCCAUUUCCUAUGUGGGACAAUGAUA
This is a long non-coding RNA of Mytilus californianus (California mussel), 548 nucleotides long. RefSeq lists it as uncharacterized. The record is from RefSeq and is a predicted model, not a curated record. The transcript is spliced from 3 exons. NCBI's taxonomy places the organism in Eukaryota, Metazoa, Mollusca, Bivalvia, Mytilida, Mytilidae.